GUGGGGAAUAUUGGGCAAUGGGCGAAAGCCUGACCCAGCAACGCCGCGUGAGGGAAGAAGGUUUUCGGAUUGUAAACCUCUGUCCUUGGUGACGAACACAAUGACGGUAGCCAAGGAGGAAGCCCCGGCUAACUACGUGCCAGCAGCCGCGGUAAUACGUAGGGGGCAAGCGUUGUCCGGAAUGACUGGGCGUAAAGGGCGUGUAGGCGGCCGAUUAAGUCUGGAGUGAAAGUCCUGCUUUCAAGGUGGGAAUUGCUUUGGAGACUGGUUGGCUUGAGUGCGGAAGAGGAAAGUGGAAUUCCCAGUGUAGCGGUGAAAUGCGUAGAUAUUGGGAAGAACACCAGUGGCGAAGGCGACUUUCUGGACGAUGUCUGACGCUGAGGCGCGAAAGCUAGGGGAGCGAACGGGAUUAGAAACCCUUGUAGUCC
This 428-nucleotide ribosomal RNA is filed under the name uncultured bacterium. RNAcentral describes it as "partial 16S ribosomal RNA". It matches the Rfam family "Bacterial small subunit ribosomal RNA", at positions 354 to 796 of the family's 1533-position model. The record is from RNAcentral.